UACGAAGGGGGCUAGCGUUGCUCGGAAUCACUGGGCGUAAAGCGCACGUAGGCGGAUUGCUAAGUCAGGGGUGAAAUCCUGGAGCUCAACUCCAGAACUGCCUUUGAUACUGGCGAUCUCGAGUCCGGGAGAGGUGAGUGGAACUGCGAGUGUAGAGGUGAAAUUCGUAGAUAUUCGCAAGAACACCAGUGGCGAAGGGCGGCUCACCUGGCCCGGUACUGACGCUGAGGUGCGAAAGCGUGGGAGCAACAG
Molecule: ribosomal RNA, 252 nt
Filed under: uncultured bacterium
Lineage: Bacteria
Description: partial 16S ribosomal RNA
Rfam family: Bacterial small subunit ribosomal RNA
Source: RNAcentral